GCAAGAAAGAAGAAAAAUUAAAUUUUAGAGCAAUGAAUUUGGCAUAGUUUUCAGAGAACUAUAGAGUAACUGUCCUAUGGUGCACAGAAUUUGGUAAGGAGAUGCCUCAACUCUAGUUUUAUUUAUAACUGCAAUCAUCACUUAACAGUGAUAUAAAUUUUUGGAAUUUCUUUUUAAACCAUUGAUGUACAUUCCCUUUCUAUAGUUUUCCAUAGUGUGCAUUGUAUUCCAAGAUCUUCAUAUCUUACUGCUGAAAGUCAAGGGAUGAAUUUGCCCUGAAGGUUUUGCUUUCAUCCACAGAGGCAAAAAGGGAGUACCAGCUCUAUACCUGUAAGCCCAAAAUCUGCACAUCAUCUCUCACAAACAAUGGAAAUAGCAUGUGAGAAUAACAAGUUGAAGCCCUUUCCCAGCUUUACCAGGAAAGAGGAAUUGCAGGCUGGACUGCAACAGAAGACAAAUACAGCUGCUGAAGAAUGGAGUAACUGAUGUCUAAGAAAAGAGAUACAUGGUGGAAGGCCUAAAAGCAAUAUCUAGCACAGAGUCCAGCCUUGACCUUAAUGAUUUUUGACCAUCCUCACCUGAAUCAGCAUUUGCUCAACAAUCUCCAAUGGUGUAAUACGUUUUAAUUCUGGCUGAAUCAUUCAAAAAUCCCUUGAAUUUUGAAGAGUUAAGAAAAGUUGAGAGAGUUGAGAAAGUUUAAUCAGUGCAAAGAUUUAUUGCACUAAUGAUGUAGGUGAUCAACUGAUAUCCUAAUUGUCUAAAGUAUUCAUCUACCCAAGCACCACGUAAAAGUUUUUUCAUUCCCACAAUUGUUCAUUUUCUUCUAAUGCUGUCUUAGAGUAAUGAUUCAUUUGGAGGAGAUCCAAGACAAACAUUAUUUAAAUCACUUGAUCCGUUUACUAAGUUUUUGAAAAAUUAACAAGAGCAUUGUUUAAUACAUCAUUUUUUUAGUAGCAUGGGUUGAGUUAGGGAACUUUUGUAAAAGCCUGACUCCAUAAGAACUGAGAAAUAAAUUUUACAGUAGAAAGAGCA
RNAcentral lists this long non-coding RNA (1032 nucleotides) under Cyanistes caeruleus (blue tit). RNAcentral's name for it is "lncRNA (ENSCCEG00000016060.1)". The record is from RNAcentral. Lineage: Eukaryota; Metazoa; Chordata; Aves; Passeriformes; Paridae.